Molecule: ribosomal RNA, 166 nt
Filed under: Treponema sp.
Lineage: Bacteria; Pseudomonadati; Spirochaetota; Spirochaetia; Treponematales; Treponemataceae
Description: partial 23S ribosomal RNA
Rfam family: Bacterial large subunit ribosomal RNA
Source: RNAcentral
UAACCGCUGAAAGCAUCUAAGUGGGAAGCCGGCCACGAGAUUAGAUUUCCCUGGGAGUUCAACUCCCCUGAAGACUCCUCAGAUACUAUGAGGUUGAUAGGUUGCAGGUGUAAGUGCCGCGAGGUAUUCAGCCGAGCAAUACUAAUAAGUCGUGAGGCUUGGCCUU